AUGGAGGAACAUCUUCAACCUGUGCCUGAGCAUGAUUAUUUUGAGCUUUUUUCGAAUGAUACUAGCUCAUAUCCUAUGCCAGAGCACACAUCAACUUUAAAAACCAAGAGGACAUUAUUUUGUUCAGGGAUUGCUUUGAUGGUUAUGUAUUCCUUGACAAUAAAGAUCAGGAAUAUCCUGCUAUCGUAGAAUUUGCACCUUUUCAAAAACCUACAAAAAAGAAGACUAAGAAAAGAGAUACCAAAGUUGGGACUAUUGAUGAUGAUCCAGAAUAUAGAAAGUUUUUGAAAGUUGUGCCACAGAUAAUGAGAAAAUAACAUCUACUCCAGAGACACUGCUAGAGGAAAUAGAAGCAAAACAUAGAGAAUUAAUAGCUAAAAAGACAACCCCACUUCUGAGCUUCCUGAAAAACAAGCAGAGAAUGAGAGAAGAAAAGAGAAAAGAAGAAGGCAAGAAAUAGAAAAAGACAACGAGAAGAGAGGAGGAAAUGGAAAGAAGAGAAAUGAAAAAGAAAAGAUAUAGAAAAGCUAAAGAAGAUAGACAGAAUUUAAGAAAGGGACAAGUUAAAAGAUGAACCAAAGAUUAAGCUACUCAAGAAGCCAGAAAAAGGAGGUGGAAAAGAAUUGGACAAAAGAGACAAAGCCAAGAAACUGGACAAAGAGAAUCUGAAUGAUGAAAGAACCAGAGGGCAAAGUUGGACAUUGCCCAAGCGUUCUGAUAGCAAAUUUAAAGAUGAAAUGCCAGGGCUGGGCAAGAGACCUGAAGAUGAGAGCAGCAGAGACUACAGGGAGGGGGGACGGGAUUAUGAAUGAGAUCAGGGCGCAUACUUUGAGAGAGAGAGGCUGAAGCGGUAAGAGGAAGAGUGCCGUAGGCAGAAGGAACGCUAUGAGAAAGAGAAGACUUUUAAGAGAAAAGAAGAAAUGAAAAAAGAGAAAGAAGUACUUCGGGAUAAAGGAAAGAAGGCUGAAAGUGCAGAAUCAAUAGGCAGUUCAGAAAAAAACUGAAAAGAAAGAAGUGGUCAAGAGAGAUUGCAUAAGAAACAAGGAUCCAGCGAUGUAGCUUUACCAACCAGGAGCUCGAAGCUGAAAUCAACUCUCUGCCCUGAUGACAGCACCGAGUCUGGAAAUUCAGCAAUAGAAAAAAAGCAGGAAGGUGAUAUUAGCCAUAGAAAAGAAGGAGGAGAGGAGUGA
RNA transcript from Mandrillus leucophaeus (drill), 1190 nucleotides. It is a transcript of the gene named regulator of nonsense transcripts 3B-like, with no coding region annotated. The record is from RefSeq and is a predicted model, not a curated record. NCBI's taxonomy places the organism in Eukaryota, Metazoa, Chordata, Mammalia, Primates, Cercopithecidae. The transcript is spliced from 3 exons.